CCUUGCCUCCACGACUCGGCCGCGUCGACGAUGGACCUGCGUUGUAUUAGCUAGUAGGUGAGGUAACGGCUCACCUAGGCGACGAUACAUAGCCGACCUGAGAGGGUGAUCGGCCACACUGGGACUGAGACACGGCCCAGACUCCUACGGGAGGCAGCAGUAGGGAAUCUUCGGCAAUGGGGGCAACCCUGACCGAGCAACGCCGCGUGAGUGAAGAAGGUUUUCGGAUCGUAAAGCUCUGUUGUAAGUCAAGAACGAGUGUGAGAGUGGAAAGUUCACACUAUGACGGUAGCUUACCAGAAAGGGACGGCUAACUACGUGCCAGCAGCCGCGGUAAUACGUAGGUCCCGAGCGUUGUCCGGAUUUAUUGGGCGUAAAGCGAGCGCAGGCGGUUUGAUAAGUCUGAAGUUAAAGGCUGUGGCUCAACCAUAGUUCGCUUUGGAAACUGUCAAACUUGAGUGCAGAAGGGGAGAGUGGAAUUCCAUGUGUAGCGGUGAAAUGCGUAGAUAUAUGGAGGAACACCGGUGGCGAAAGCGGC
Molecule: ribosomal RNA, 538 nt
Filed under: uncultured bacterium
Lineage: Bacteria
Description: bacterial SSU rRNA
Rfam family: Bacterial small subunit ribosomal RNA
Source: RNAcentral